UCUAAACCGUUAGAUGAUUAGAAUCAAGGGCACAUAAGAAAGCAAUACAAAGCACAUGGAUCAUCAAUAUUACCCGUUGGAUACAAAUCACAAAAGAAGCUAAACCGUUAAAUCGUCUUUUAACCUAUCACCUUUUCCCUCAUCUCUCUCCAAACCCAUAUUUCCUGCCCAGCCUCCCUUCUAGUUCCUACUUCUCUCAACUCAUGUUAUCAUCUCAAAUGUAGUAUUUUUUUCGUCUGUAAAGUCGAGUUCAAGAUGGAGGGUUUUGGAAGCGCAGAGGUGGUGCAAUACGGCUAGAUUGUAUGAAGCUUGAAGCACCGAAGAAAAGAACAUCCCAUAUGUAGAUUCAUAUGUUACUGAGGAUUAUAAUAAUGAUGGAAAAUAUAGUUUUCAAUCUGAUUUUUGAUUUUCUCUCUCUUCGUUGCUCGCUUCAUCAUCUUCUUAUUCUCCAAACAUACAUAAAGUCGAGUUCAAGAUGGUGUAAAUUAUGGUUAUAUGAUGAACUAUGUGUUCGUUUGCUUCUUCUGGAUCUCUUUAUUUAUUAGCAAUUUGAUUUUAAAGCUUAGAUUUGUAUUUGCACUUGACUGAUAUUAUCACCGGCGGAGGCAUAAGCACCGAUCGACGUCUAGCGGUAGCAACAAGGACAGAUCAGCAACAUCGAACAAGAACAGGGAAGAGAGAAAAUUCACAACGCGCAGCCGGCAACAAGCAAGGCCUGCCACAGCUCUAACGACCAAACGAAUCGCGACUUAGCGACUGGUGGUAGGUCCGACUUCCGAGGAACCACCGCAGGUAAGGAGAAACAGGGAGAUGUAUCAAUUUUGAGUUUUCUUCCCUUCCUGCUUCAUUGUUGUUAGAUGAUCUAAAGACCAGGUUAUGUAGAAGAUUUGAGCUAGAAGUUGAAGAAACAUCUUUCUUGCAAAUUUUUAAGUGAAGAAUGAAGAUGCAAUAUCAAGCACUAAAUUGUUUUUUUUUUUGCCCAAAUUUCUGUAAAUUACUUAAUUGUAGAUUCAUUUCUUUAUUUUUCUGGAUGUAAAGUUAAACAAUCAAUUCAAAUUUGCUGUAACUUUUUCUUCAUUGUAUAUGCUUUAACUUCUACUUCAAUAAGAAUGAAUUUCAUAUUCA
This is a long non-coding RNA of Beta vulgaris subsp. vulgaris (sugar beet), 1125 nucleotides long. RefSeq lists it as uncharacterized. The transcript has 2 exons. NCBI's taxonomy places the organism in Eukaryota, Viridiplantae, Streptophyta, Magnoliopsida, Caryophyllales, Amaranthaceae. The record is from RefSeq and is a predicted model, not a curated record.